Molecule: ribosomal RNA, 809 nt
Filed under: uncultured diatom
Lineage: Eukaryota; Bacillariophyta
Description: bacterial SSU rRNA
Rfam family: Bacterial small subunit ribosomal RNA
Source: RNAcentral
ACGCUGGCGGUAUGCUUUACACAUGCAAGUCGUACGAGAGUUUUUAACUCAAGUGGCGGACGGGUGAGUAACACGUAAGAAUUUGCCUUUAGGAGGGGGACAACAACUGGAAACGGUUGCUAAUACCCCAUGUGCUUUCGAGUGAAAUGGAUUUAUCCGCCUAGAGAGAAGCUUGCGGCUGAUUAGCUUGUUGGUGAGGUAAUGGCUUACCAAGGCGACGAUCAGUAUCUGGUUUGAGAGGACGAUCAGACACACUGGAACUGAGACACGGUCCAGACUCCUACGAGAGGCAGCAGUGGGGAAUUUUCCGCAAUGGGCGAAAGCCUGACGGAGCAAUACCGCGUGAGGGAUGACGGCCUAUGGGUUGUAAACCUCUUUUUUCAGGGAGGAAUCAAUGACGUGUACCUGAAGAAUAAGCAUCGGCUAACUCCGUGCCAGCAGCCGCGGUAAGACGGAGGAUGCAAGUGUUAUCCGGAAUCACUGGGCGUAAAGCGUCUGUAGCUGGUCAAAUAAGUCAACUGUUAAAUCUUGAGGCUCAACCUCAAAAUCGCAGUCGAAACUAUUAGACUAGAGUAUAGUAGGGGUAAAGGGAAUUUCCAGUGGAGCGGUGAAAUGCGUAGAGAUUGGAAAGAACACCGAUGGCGAAGGCACUUUACUGGGCUAUUACUAACACUGAGAGACGAUAGCUAGGGUAGCAAAUGGGAUUAGAUACCCCAGUAGUCCUAGCCGUAAACAAUGGAUACUAGAUGUUGAACAGAUCGACCUGUGCAGUAUCAAAGCUAACGCGUUAAGUAUCCCGCCUGGAAGUA